This 311-nucleotide ribosomal RNA is filed under the name uncultured eukaryote. Its description in RNAcentral is "partial 18S ribosomal RNA". It matches the Rfam family "Eukaryotic small subunit ribosomal RNA", at positions 1470 to 1796 of the family's 1831-position model. The record is from RNAcentral.
CCCCUAGACGUUCUGGGCUGCACGCGCGCUACAAUAAUACGCACAGCGAGUAUCACCGAGCUCGAAAGGGCAAGGUAAACAAUAGAAAAGGUACUGUAAUGGUUAUAGAUCCUUGUAAUUAUUGAUCUUCAACGAGGAAUUCCUAGUAAGUAUGUGUCAUCAUCACGCACUGAUUACGUCCCUGCCCUUUGUACACACCGCCUGUCGCUCCUACCGAUUGGGUGAGCCGAUGAAACUCUCGGAUGUAGGCUAUUCAUAGCCCGCAGAAGAGAUUUGAAUCGUAGCGCUUAGAGGAAGGAGAAGUCGUAACA